UUUAACUUUUUGUGUAUGAUGUCAUGAUGAGAAGCCUUGCAUGCUUAUAAGAAAAGUUUUCUAUGAGUAUGCGGCGGUUGCCAUGACCUUCGACUCACAAUCUCGGAUUGAAAGUGUGACAAUUAAUAUAGUAUUAGAGCAUAAGUAAAUAGAUAAAGACAUGUAGAAUAGAAUGAGCGAGUGAUGGGUAGAUAUUAGAAAAUUUAAAAAGUUAGUU
Molecule: long non-coding RNA, 217 nt
Filed under: Elaeis guineensis (African oil palm)
Lineage: Eukaryota; Viridiplantae; Streptophyta; Magnoliopsida; Arecales; Arecaceae
Description: long non-coding RNA (EGUI_LNC056473)
Source: RNAcentral